Molecule: long non-coding RNA, 972 nt
Organism: Numida meleagris (helmeted guineafowl)
Lineage: Eukaryota; Metazoa; Chordata; Aves; Galliformes; Numididae
Exons: 3
Source: RefSeq, a predicted model, not a curated record
CAGAUGUUUCCACAGGGCUGAGGGAUCCUGGUACCGGUGCAGGCUCUUGCCUUGGCGAAGGACAUGUGAGACCACAUUGUGGAGAGCUGGCCAGUACGCGCUGUAUCCUGAGCCCUCUCUGCCACGAGCUGUUCCCAUUGUCUGCAGUGCAAUGUCAUCCUCAUCCCUGCUGAUGUUGGGGCAUUGAAUGACUGCAUGGCAUCCCAUCCUGCCGUCCUUCAAAAGGCUCUCUGGACUUUUUCCUCCAACCAAAGAGCUGGAUGUGUCAGGCAGUAGAAAACCGCCCUGCAGAAGGACCUUCCUCUGUGGUGACCUCGAGGUGGAUUGGAGCUGGAGUUCCUGCGGUGCUCAUUCAUCAGUCUCCCUCAUGGUAAUUUGCAUGAUUUACGUUCUCACCAUUGUGAUUAGGUGCUGGAAAAAAAAUGAUCUACACUGGAGCUGACUUCAGAAAGCAACGUUCUUAGUCCAAAUCCAAUCAAGCUCCGCAGCAGGCAGCCCUUUUGAUUUAGCAUGAAUUUGAAUAUGUGUGGCCCCGAGAAUAACCCUCCUGGCUUUGGAAACCUCAGAGAUGAAAAGACUAUCACGUAAAUGAUGUGCAGAGGAUUAUCUCUGUGAACUGUCCUUCCUUCCUCCAGAGGCCGUUUUGCUGGAGUGAAUAGUGAGAUGCUGCACUGGAGUGAAAUCCAUUAUAAAAUGCAGUCAAAUGAAGCUCAGUGGGGACAUUUAUUUUUCCAGACACAAAAGUGAGUCUGGAGGAAUCCCACCAGAACGGUUCAUGGGGUUUUCGUGGACUCACAUCGCAGUGCAGUGAAGAGCAGAAUUUUGCUUUGCUGGAGGCAAUCUUACUGGACUAUUUUUUGUUCUUUUGCCCCUAAUAGCUUUAAUAAAGCUGGCAAAAUGUGUCUGCCUUUGAAUGUAAAAUCCCUGACUCUGUUGAUGUCAUUGUGACUCCAGUGGGCCAACAUUUUAAUC